GGAGGCGUGCCGGAGCGGCCGAACGGGACCGCCUCGAAAGCGGUUAGGGGUCUAACCCACCCCUCACAGGUUCGAAUCCUGUCGCCUCCG
This 90-nucleotide transfer RNA is filed under the name Pseudomonadota bacterium. RNAcentral describes it as "tRNA-Ser". It matches the Rfam family "tRNA". Rfam says of the family: Transfer RNA (tRNA) molecules are approximately 80 nucleotides in length. RNAcentral also lists the same sequence under 1 other name. The record is from RNAcentral. Lineage: Bacteria; Pseudomonadati; Pseudomonadota.